GGGGGCUGCGGAGGGAUCAUUG
RNAcentral lists this ribosomal RNA (22 nucleotides) under Cytospora sp. 36 NC10. Its description in RNAcentral is "partial 18S ribosomal RNA". The record is from RNAcentral. Lineage: Eukaryota; Fungi; Ascomycota; Sordariomycetes; Diaporthales; Cytosporaceae.